UCCGUCUUCGUCCCUUAUGCUUGCCACUCCCAGGUCCGCUCCAAAGACGAUUCUACAUUCUCACUACCAUUACAACCGUUCCCUAACAAUUGAUAAUGUCCUAUACUACUUACUCUCCCGCUCAAUCACGGAGACGAGUUUUCCACGGUUUCCACCCCUCCCUCCAUACCGCAGCAACACGAGUUUUUUCCACCCCUUUCAGAACGCGCUCUUCGCGCCACAAAGCCGCCCCAAGACGCGCGAGCAAUGAGCAUCGAGCUUAAACAUAUCGCAAACGUCAAACAUAAUAUAACGGGAUUAAUAUAUAUCGCGCACGUGCGACAUGUUUGUCACAAGGCGCAAAAAAUAAUUAUAAAAGGAAUGCAACACGAGGACUUCCCAAGAGGUCACCCAUCCUAGUACUACUCUCGCCCAAGCACGCUUAACUUCGGAGUUCUGACGGGAUCCGGUGCUUUAGUGCUGGUAUGAUCGCAUCUGACAUGUUUCCCCGUCUUCGUCCCUUAUGCUUGCCACUCCCAGGUCCGCUCCAAAGACGAUUCUACAUUCUCACUACCAUUACAACCGUUCCCUAACAAUGGAUAAUGUCCUAUACUACUUACUCUCCCGCUCAAUCACGGAGACAAGUUUUCCACGGUUUCCACCCCUCCCUCCAUACCGCAGCAACACGAGUUUUUUCCACCCCUUUCAGAACGCGCUCUUCGCGCCACAAAGCCGCCCCAAGACGCGCGAGCAAUGAGCAUCGAGCUUAAACAUAUCGCAAACGUCAAACAUAAUAUAACGGGAUUAAUAUAUAUCGCGCACGUGCGACAUGUUUGUCACAAGGCGCAAAAAAUAAUUAUAAAAGGAAUGCAACACGAGGACUUCCCAGGAGGUCACCCAUCCUAGUACUACUCUCGCCCAGGCACGCUUAACUUCGNNNNNNNNNNCUUUAGUGCUGGUAUGAUCGCAUCCGACAUGUUUCCCCGUCUUCGUCCCUUAUGCUUGCCACUCCCAGGUCCGCUCCAAAGACGAUUCUACAUUCUCACUACCAUUACAACCGUUCCCUAACAAUGGAUAAUGUCCUAUACUACUUACUCUCCCGCUCAAUCACGGAGACGAGUUUUCCACGGUUUCCACCCCUCCCUCCAUACCGCAGCAACACGAGUUUUUUCCACCCCUUUCAGAACGCGCUCUUCGCGCCACAAAGCCGCCCCAAGACGCGCGAGCAAUGAGCAUCGAGCUUAAACAUAUCGCAAACGUCAAACAUAAUAUAACGGGAUUAAUAUAUAUCGCGCACGUGCGACAUGUUUGUCACAAGGCGCAAAAAAUAAUUAUAAAAGGAAUGCAACACAAGGACUUCCCAGGAGGUCACCCAUCCUAGUACUACUCUGGCCCAAGCACGCUUAACUUCGGAGUUCUGAUGGGAUCCGGUGCUUUAGUGCUGGUAUGAUCGCAUCCGAUAUGUUUCCCCGUCUUCGUCCCUUAUGCUUGCCACUCCCAGGUCCGCUCCAAAGACGAUUCUACAUUCUCACUACCAUUACAACCGUUCCCUAACAAUGGAUAAUGUCCUAUACUACUUACUCUCCCGCUCAAUCACGGAGACGAGUUUUCCACGGUUUCCACCCCUCCCUCCAUACCGCAGCAACACGAGUUUUUUCCACCCCUUUCAGAACGCGCUCUUCGCGACACAAAGCCGCCCCAAGACGCGCGAGCAAUGAGCAUCGAGCUUAAACAUAUCGCAAACGUCAAACAUAAUAUAACGGGAUUAAUAUGUAUCGCGCACGUGCGACAUGUUUGUCACAAGGCGCAAAAAAUAAUUAUAAAAGGAAUGCAACACGAGGACUUCCCAGGAGGUCACCCAUCCUAGUACUACUCUCGCCCAAGCACGCUUAACUUCGGAGUUCUGAUGGGAUCCGGUGCUUUAGUGCUGGUAUGAUCGCAUCCGCCAUGUUUCCCCGUCUUCGUCCCUUAUGCUUGCCACUCCCAGGUCCGCUCCAAACACGAUUCUACAUUCUCACUACCAUUACAACCGUUCCCUAACAAUGGAUAAUGUCCUAUACUACUUACUCUCCCGCUCAAUCACGGAGACGAGUUUUCCACGGUUUCCACCCCUCCCUCCAUACCGCAGCAACACGAGUUUUUUUCCACCCCUUUCAGAACGCGCUCUUCGCGCCACAAAGCCGCCCCAAGACGCGCGAGCAAUGAGCAUCGAGCUUAAACAUAUCGCAAACGUCAAACAUAAUAUAACGGGAUUAAUA
Molecule: long non-coding RNA, 2237 nt
Filed under: Triticum aestivum (bread wheat)
Lineage: Eukaryota; Viridiplantae; Streptophyta; Magnoliopsida; Poales; Poaceae
Description: long non-coding RNA (TAES_LNC018943)
Source: RNAcentral